GCCACCGUCAAACGCGGUUUCGAAUCUCACCAAAGUGCCACACCUACCGCGGUCGUGGAUUUUGUCGUCCGUGGCCGUGCUGUGGACCCCGAUUUGUUGCCGAGCUGCGCGUUUGAGUAACGAAGCCGCCAAGACCUUCCGUUUGCUUUCUCUCACGUUCUAGGCCACGCUAACCGAUGCCGAACUUGCGCAGGAAGCUACCGUUCGCCAUCCGCGUGGUCCGCCCGACCCCGAGCUCUCUCUGCCGCAAGAAAACCCC
This 259-nucleotide long non-coding RNA is filed under the name Sorghum bicolor (sorghum). Its description in RNAcentral is "long non-coding RNA (SBIC_LNC018825)". Lineage: Eukaryota; Viridiplantae; Streptophyta; Magnoliopsida; Poales; Poaceae. The record is from RNAcentral.